GACGAACGCUGGCGGCGUGCUUAACACAUGCAAGUCGAACGGAAAGGCCCUGCUUUUGUGGGGUGCUCGAGUGGCGAACGGGUGAGUAACACGUGAGUAACCUGCCCUUGACUUUGGGAUAACUUCAGGAAACUGGGGCUAAUACCGGAUAGGAGCUCCUGCUGCAUGGUGGGGGUGGGAAAGUUUCGGCGGGUGGGGAUGGACUCGCGGCUGAUCAGCGUGUUGGUGGGGGAUUGGCUUACCAAGGCUUUGACGGGUAGCCGUCCUGAGAGGGGGACCGGCCACAUUGGGACUGAGAUACGGCCCAGACUCCUACGGGAGGCAGCAGUGGGGAAUAUUGCACAAUGGGCGGAAGCCUGAUGAAGCAACGCCGCGUGCGGGAUGAAGGCCUUCGGGUUGUAAACCGCUUUCGCCUGUGACGAAGCGUGAGUGACGGUAAUGGGUAAAGAAGCACCGGCUAACUACGUG
This 468-nucleotide ribosomal RNA is filed under the name uncultured bacterium. RNAcentral describes it as "partial 16S ribosomal RNA". It matches the Rfam family "Bacterial small subunit ribosomal RNA", at positions 28 to 507 of the family's 1533-position model. The record is from RNAcentral.